GCUCCUAGUGGCCAACCGGUACAACCAUCUUUUUUGUCUCCCACCGGUCAACAUGCACAGCAACCCUUUUCAGCUCAUGCCGGUCAACCUGGACAGCAAUCCUUUUCAGCUCAUGCCGGUCAACCUGGACAGCAAUCCUUUUCAGCUCAUGCCGGUCAACCUGGACAGCAAUCCUUUUCAGCACCUCCAAGUGGCCAACCAGUGCAACCACCUUUUGUAUCUCCCACCAGCCGACAUGUACAGCAACCCUUUUCAGCUCAUGGUGGUCAAC
RNAcentral lists this long non-coding RNA (271 nucleotides) under Lupinus angustifolius (narrow-leaved blue lupine). RNAcentral describes it as "long non-coding RNA (LANG_LNC001370)". The record is from RNAcentral. Lineage: Eukaryota; Viridiplantae; Streptophyta; Magnoliopsida; Fabales; Fabaceae.